RNAcentral lists this non-coding RNA (21 nucleotides) under Caenorhabditis elegans. Lineage: Eukaryota; Metazoa; Nematoda; Chromadorea; Rhabditida; Rhabditidae. The record is from RNAcentral.
UAAUCUGUCAUCUGUUUCAAA